GUAAAAACUGUGAAAGGAAGAGUAGAUAUCUGGAAUCUUUCAGCGAAUUGGGGAUGGUGAGAGCCCAAGAAGAUGAAGCAUAUUGAAAGACAUCCUUGAGUUGAUGAUUCAAAAGCUGGGCCCAGCAAGUAGAUGAAUCCGGGAGUUCCCGUUAUAGAAAUAAGAGAUAACUGCUAGCUAUAUGGCAGUUAAUAAGAAUGGUACCGUGAGAUAAGCUCGCUUCUUAA
Molecule: non-coding RNA, 227 nt
Filed under: Acetoanaerobium sticklandii
Lineage: Bacteria; Bacillati; Bacillota; Clostridia; Peptostreptococcales; Filifactoraceae
Description: Clostridium sticklandii T-box sequence
Rfam family: T-box leader
About the family: Uncharged tRNA acts as the effector for transcription antitermination of genes in the T-box leader family. T-boxes are found upstream of many aminoacyl-tRNA synthetase genes and some amino acid biosynthetic genes usually in Gram-positive bacteria.
Source: RNAcentral